UGGGGAAUAUUGCACAAUGGGCGCAAGCCUGAUGCAGCCAUGCCGCGUGUAUGAAGAAGGCCUUCGGGUUGUAAAGUACUUUCAGCGGGGAGGAAGGGAGUAAAGUUAAUACCUUUGCUCAUUGACGUUACCCGCAGAAGAAACACCGGCUAACUCCGUGCCAGCAGCCGCGGUAAUACGGAGGGUGCAAGCGUUAAUCGGAAUUACUGGGCGUAAAGCGCACGCAGGCGGUUUGUUAAGUCAGAUGUGAAAUCCCCGGGCUCAACCUGGGAACUGCAUCUGAUACUGGCAAGCUUGAGUCUCGUAGAGGGGGGUAGAAUUCCAGGUGUAGCGGUGAAAUGCGUAGAGAUCUGGAGGAAUACCGGUGGCGAAGGCGGCCCCCUGGACGAAGACUGACGCUCAGGUGCGAAAGCGUGGGGAGCAAACAGG
Molecule: ribosomal RNA, 429 nt
Filed under: Chloroflexota bacterium
Lineage: Bacteria; Bacillati; Chloroflexota
Also listed under: 1 other name
Description: Chloroflexi bacterium partial 16S ribosomal RNA
Rfam family: Bacterial small subunit ribosomal RNA
Source: RNAcentral